This 468-nucleotide ribosomal RNA is filed under the name uncultured bacterium. Its description in RNAcentral is "partial 16S ribosomal RNA". It matches the Rfam family "Bacterial small subunit ribosomal RNA", at positions 28 to 507 of the family's 1533-position model. The record is from RNAcentral.
GACGAACGCUGGCGGCGUGCUUAACACAUGCAAGUCGAACGGAAAGGCCCUGCUUUUGUGGGGUGCUCGAGUGGCGAGCGGGUGAGUAACACGUGAGUAACCUGCCCUUGACUUUGGGAUAACUUCAGGAAACUGGGGCUAAUACCGGAUAGGAGCUCCUGCUGCAUGGUGGGGGUUGGAAAGUUUCGGCCGUUGGGGAUGGACUCGCGGCUUAUCAGCUUGUUGGUGGGGUAGUGGCUUACCAAGGCUUUGACGGGUAGCUGGCCUGAGAGGGUGACCGGCCACAUUGGGACUGAGAUACGGCCCAGACUCCUACGGGAGGCAGCAGUGGGGAAUAUUGCACAAUGGGCGGAAGCCUGAUGCAGCAACGCCGCGUGCGGGAUGACGGCCUUCGGGUUGUAAACCGCUUUCGCCUGUGACGAAGCGUGAGUGACGGUAAUGGGUAAAGAAGCACCGGCUAACUACGUG